RNAcentral lists this long non-coding RNA (1548 nucleotides) under Olea europaea subsp. europaea. The record is from RNAcentral. Lineage: Eukaryota; Viridiplantae; Streptophyta; Magnoliopsida; Lamiales; Oleaceae.
AUUUAUUCCUCCCUUUGAAAACCCAAAGCUCCAGAGGCCCAAUUAGUGUUUUCAGUCUCUGGCCCAAGUGUUGGUCCGUUAACUUUACCUCGUCCAAGAAGCCCAUGUUCUGUAGUGUUCACCUGUCCAUUCUUCUUCCCUGCCAAGGCCGAAAUUUCUACUCCAGUGACUUACUUCAACAUCACAUGCUGGCGAGCUUCUUCCCGGCGCACCUUCACAAAUACCUCGCGGAUCGAUGGUAGUAGGCUUCUCCUAAUAUUCGGCGUCUGACCUCGUCCAACUCCCGAUUCAGCCCUGCGAGAAAUUCGAAUACUCUCUCAUGUUCCUGCUACUUGUACAAGGCGACGUCUUCCUUGCACUUUCACUCCUCUUCGCUGCUCAGGUCGAGGUCCUGCCAUAGGGAGGUCAUCUCCAUGAAAUAUUGGAUAACAUCCCGUGUCCCCUGUUUCGUCUGCCAUAGACGGGUCUUAAGUUCGAAGACUUGUGCUGUGUUCCCAACGUCUGAAAAAGUCUCUUUCACGGCAUCCCAGACAUCUUUUGCCGUUGGGAGGAAGAGAUAGGCUUUCCCUAUCGACGGCUUCAUGGAGUUUACAAGCCAAGCGGUUGCCAUUGAAUUUUUAGAAUUCCACCGUUGCAGUUGAGCAGGAUCAGCUGGCUUCUUUGUCUCGCCGGUGAGAUAUCUAAGUUUCCCUUUUCCAUCAAUUAUUAAUUUAAUUGACUGUAAGUUGGAAUGAUGAAGUUUCAGAUGUAUUGGAACCAAUGGAGGAGUGGACCUCUGCUUCGGGGUCGGAGAUGACAGAUCUGGUACUGUGAGAGGGGAAUUCCGCCAUUGACUGCUAGGUUAGAGCAACCUAGGCUCUGACACCAGAAACAAUUAGAGAUUUGAGAAAAUAAAUUCUCUUUCUCAAUACAUUAAUAGCCUUCUCACGUCAGUUUAUAUACACACAAGAGGAAGAAAAUAUGGAAAAACUAAUUUCCUAAUCUAGGAAACAAAUUAGCCUACCAAAUAACAAAAAUAUGUAAUCCCUAAUUAAUUACAAUUACUAUAAUUGGGUUUCUUUCCUUUUUCUUCCCUUGAUCGUUUUCUACACUUUUCCUUCACUCUAUCCCCAAAAAAAGUCUUUCUUGGAGUUUCAAGCUUUAUAUAUAAUCAAAUUACAAAGACCAGUAAUGAAGUAAUUAUUAGAUCAUGAAACUGAUUCUGUUAUCUAUUAGUUUUGUUUAUUCACUAUGAAUAGUUAGAAUUGGUUAGUGUUGAGCUUUCAUAGUUGGUAGUUAAGUGUUGAGCUGUUAUGUAACUAAUUCUGUACACAAGUCAGUCUAUUUUUAUUGCCUUGAUUGAAUUUAGAAACACGAGAUACAUGAAUACAGAGAAUGGAAUUUCUUUCUUCUAGUUCUUCUCUUCAAACUUUGAUAUGGUAUCAGAACAAAUAGCUUGAUUUGCUAUUGUUAUUUUCUUGCCUUCAACUAGUUUAACAUUGAAUGCUACUGUCAUUUUUUCUUCGUUUCCAUGGAAAUCGAAUCUACGUCAUCUUCGAGUUCUGCCAU